RNAcentral lists this ribosomal RNA (440 nucleotides) under uncultured bacterium. RNAcentral's name for it is "partial 16S ribosomal RNA". It matches the Rfam family "Bacterial small subunit ribosomal RNA", at positions 338 to 795 of the family's 1533-position model. The record is from RNAcentral.
CCUACGGGAGGCAGCAGUGGGGAAUAUUGCACAAUGGGGGAAACCCUGAUGCAGCGACGCCGCGUGAGUGAAGAAGUAAUUCGUUAUGUAAAGCUCUAUCAGCAGGGAAGAAAAUGACGGUACCUGAGUAAGAAGCCCCGGCUAACUACGUGCCACCAGCCGCGGGAAUACGUAGGGGGCAAGCGUUAUCCGGAUUUACUGGGUGUAAAGGGAGCGUAGGCGGGAGUGCAAGUCUGGAGUGAAAGGCGGGGGGUCAACCCCCGGACUGCUGUGGAAACUGUACGGCUGGAGUGCAGGAGAGGUAAGUGGAAUGCGUGGUGUAGCGGUGAAAUGCGUAGAUAUUAGGAAGAACACCAGUGGCGAAGGCAGCUUACUGGACUGUAACUGACGUUGAGGCACGAAAGCGUGGGGAGCAAACAGGAUUAGAUACCCCAGUAGUC